This 972-nucleotide long non-coding RNA is filed under the name Citrus sinensis (sweet orange). RNAcentral describes it as "long non-coding RNA (CSIN_LNC001526)". The record is from RNAcentral. Lineage: Eukaryota; Viridiplantae; Streptophyta; Magnoliopsida; Sapindales; Rutaceae.
UGCAUUCUGGGAUCCCGUUGGACUAGUGCUUCCAUUAAGAUCAAUCCAAAGCGAACGGAGUGUGCAAGAGAUCAUAAGGAGCCCACAGCGCAUCCAAAGGGCAGGGGCGGUUAGCGUCGAGCCUCGCCCAAGGCUUGCCUUUGCCGCUCCAAUGCAGGAGGCUGACUGGACCCGGAUGCAAAUCCCUACAAAGACCUCUGAAAUUAUCUCCGCCAAGGCCGUGCUGGUUCCAGCGAUGAUCAACCGGCGCUAUGUUGCCUGCAAAGACCAACAAGAAGGGCGGCAACGAACCCAGCUCGUAUAUUCUCAUCCUCUUCUGCAACUCCAUCCAUUCUUCAAUCUUGGUCGUGUAAUCCCCCGCCCUCCAUCGAUCAAGAUCUAUCACCAUCACCCCCGUGUUGAAGUAGCACGCCUUCCUGUUCGCGAACGUCAGUGACAGUGCAUGGCUUGACCAGAACGUUGGCGUAAAAUACGAUGUGAAAUUCGCGUUGCAGUAUUCUGGAGCUGCCAGCACCGAGCUGUUGCCCAGAUCAGUAGCUGCCAGUUUCGCGAUGUCGUCCACUAGCACUAAAUCUGAGUCGAGGUAGACGACACGCCGUACGCAGAGAGGCAGGAGGUUGGCUAAGUAGCUCCGGGCGUAGUUUAGCGGGCAGUCGAGGGCCGACCGGAUGGACGUGGAGAUGAGACCCGACACUGAUGAGUCGUCGAAAGGGUGGACUCGGAACUUCAGGUACGGGAAGGAGGUGGAGAUUGUGGCGCGUAGGAGUGACGCGUUGGCCUUGGCCGAGGCGACGAAAUGGAAGGCGAUGUUCUGAGGGCAGGAGGAGUGUUGGAGUACUGAGAGGAUUGCCGCCAUGGAGCCACGGAUGUAUGCACUGUCCAGGGUCAUUGCCACGUGGACUGCCUCGUCCGAACAAAAAAUGUGCUCUUCCCCUUCGUCUAGUUCGAAUUCAAUGCUACUGAUGGAGGGGC